RNAcentral lists this transfer RNA (63 nucleotides) under Myrmecophilus kubotai. RNAcentral's name for it is "tRNA-Tyr". The record is from RNAcentral. Lineage: Eukaryota; Metazoa; Arthropoda; Insecta; Orthoptera; Myrmecophilidae.
GGUGAGAUGACUGAAUUAGGUGAUAAAUUGUAAGUUUAUUUAUGGAUUAAACUCCUCUCAUCA